CAGCAGUAGCCGCGGGAAUACGUAGGGUGCAAGCGUUAAUCGGAAUUACUGGGCGUAAAGCGUGCGCAGGCGGUUAUAUAAGACAGAUGUGAAAUCCCCGGGCUCAACCUGGGAACUGCAUUUGUGACUGUAUAGCUAGAGUACGGCAGAGGGGGAUGGAAUUCCGCGUGUAGCAGUGAAAUGCGUAGAUAUGCGGAGGAACACCGAUGGCGAAGGCAAUCCCCUGGGCCUGUACUGACGCUCAUGCACGAAAGCGUGGGGAGCAAACAGGAUUAGAUACCCCUGUAGUCCCUGUCUCUUAUAC
RNAcentral lists this ribosomal RNA (304 nucleotides) under uncultured bacterium. RNAcentral's name for it is "partial 16S ribosomal RNA". It matches the Rfam family "Bacterial small subunit ribosomal RNA", at positions 506 to 807 of the family's 1533-position model. The record is from RNAcentral.